UCAUUUGUCAUUGUUUAGCCUUUUAGGUUAAGAUCUAAAAUCUCAUUUCCCCCAAAAUCAUAUUCCCUCUUUUCAGCAAAUCCGAUAUCCUUCAGACACACUUCCCCGUGAAGUUUGAUUAGCGAUUUCUCUUCUCCCUUUCCCCGUGCCCUAGUAAAUCAACUCAAUGCAAAGAGAAUUUGAAGAAGAGCACAAUUUUUUGCUAUGUACCUCAAGGAAUGCAGUUAUUGAAGCGGUUGGUCCUUAAGAUUGUGAGGAAAUGGGUUCGAGUGACGAUUAUCCAGAAUCAUGGCUUUCAACCACUGUUGCAGAGCAAAUGGGAUCUUUACCAUCAAGAUGAAGUUGUUGCUUAUGAAAAUCAAAUUAUGGGAUAAUGUUAUUAAACAAUCGCAAAUGAGGUCGAUCAAGAAUGUGUUUGAAGGCACUAUAUGUUUUGCUUAUUUAUAGUCAUAUCAUAUGAUGUAAAAUAAAAUAUUGUGUAGGAGUAUAUAUUUAAUUGACUUGUUAGUGACUGAACAAUUUAUGAUAUUGGAGUUGAAAAGUAUUUUUUGUCCUAUCUGUAAUGAUAUUGAGUUUAUGAAA
Long non-coding RNA from Solanum tuberosum (potato), 582 nucleotides. RefSeq lists it as uncharacterized. The transcript is spliced from 3 exons. Lineage: Eukaryota; Viridiplantae; Streptophyta; Magnoliopsida; Solanales; Solanaceae. The record is from RefSeq and is a predicted model, not a curated record.